This is a long non-coding RNA of Heterocephalus glaber (naked mole-rat), 901 nucleotides long. The record is from Ensembl. Lineage: Eukaryota; Metazoa; Chordata; Mammalia; Rodentia; Bathyergidae.
UAACAUUUAACUUCUAAACAAUGAGCUGCCUCUGGGUAGAUAAGGUAGUAGCUGCUAGUACACGAACAUUUACUGAGCACUUAAUAGGUGCCCCACAUUGAACUAAGUCUCAACUAAAGUCUCAACUUUCCAGAACAGUGGCACAGGGUAGGUAUUGGUGCCAUUUUCAAUUUGCAAGGGAGAAAAGAUUUACAUAAGUUGUUGUAAUUAUUCCAAGACCAAACAGUAAAUGACAAUGGAAUUUAAAUUCCCACCUCUGUUGGCUAGCAUCUGAGGUUCCAAUGACUCUUGUAUUUUGCUUUGCCUUCCACCCGCAGCCAAAAUUCUGUGUACCUGUAAUUACACUGAGAGUUAUAUUGAGGAUGGUUCUGUUGUGCUUUAUCAAGGUGCCUGAGGCCUAGAUGAAGAGAUUGGCAUGGAGUGCCUUGACUUGGCCCUUCACUUGUGCCGAGCCCUGGCUGCAAGUUCAGGGACUCUCCGCCCUCCACCUUCCCACCCAGCCUGUCCUGCUGUCCCUGGGAAAAUGAUGUUGGCCCCAGGUUCCAUUCCCAGACUGGCCUGGGCAGGCCAGAGCGGUCAUCAAGUUGGAACUCAGGGGCCUGAGGUUGGUCCCAACAGAUCCAAGGGCAAAACCAAAAGCAAGCCAUUCUGUAAGGAUCUCACACAGAACCAGGUGUGUCUUCUGCAAAAUUAUGAUGCAUUUUCUUCCCAUACUCUGUUUAUUAGACGUGACUCUUUAAUCCAUCUCACAUCAAAGGGAAUCGAGUGGCUUUACCAUCAAUCUGUCAAGAAAUACUAGCUCUCCUUUGCAGGAUUGUGCCCAGUGUCAUAUGUUAAGUAGGCUCCCAUGUAUACAUUAGUACAGUUCAGUUUUAUUCCCUCAACACUGUGAGCUCAGAAG